RNAcentral lists this ribosomal RNA (615 nucleotides) under Pygidiopsis genata. RNAcentral's name for it is "SSU rRNA". It matches the Rfam family "Eukaryotic small subunit ribosomal RNA", at positions 560 to 1085 of the family's 1831-position model. Lineage: Eukaryota; Metazoa; Platyhelminthes; Trematoda; Opisthorchiida; Heterophyidae. The record is from RNAcentral.
UCUGGUGCCAGCAGCCGCGGUAACUCCAGCUCCAGAAGCGUAUAUUAAAGUUGUUGCAGUUAAAAAGCUCGUAGUUGGAUCUGGGUCGCAUGGCUACAUGCCGUUGCUCGCAUUCCUGGCCUAGUUCACACUGGGACGGGUUUGUGGGUCGGUGUCGUGGUUGUGCAGCCUUUCUGCCGUGUCUGUUUCGACAGGUGUUGGCAUGAUUGGUCGGGUUCGUCCUGCUGAUCUGUUGACAUGCUCCCAGGUGCCUUUAAUUGGGUGUCGGGGGCGGACGGCACGUUUACUUUGAACAAAUUUGAGUGCUCAAAGCAGGCCAAUGUGCCUGAAAAUUCUUGCAUGGAAUAAUGGAAUAGGACUUCGGUUCUAUUUUGUUGGUUUUCGGAUCCGAAGUAAUGGUUAAAGGGACAGACGGGGGCAUUUGUAUGGCGGUGUUAGAGGUGAAAUUCUUGGAUCGCCGCCAGACAAACUACAGCGAAAGCAUUUGCCAAGGAUGUUUUCAUUGAUCUGGAGCGAAAGUCAGAGGUUCGAAGACGAUCAGAUACCGUCCUAGUUCUGACCAUAAACGAUGCCAACUGACGAUCCGUGGUGGCGCGAUUUUUGGCCCCACGGGCA